CACGUAGGAUCCAAGCGUUAUCCGGAUUUACUGGGCGUAAAGCGCGUGCAGGUGGUUUGUUAAGUUGGGUGUUAAAUCUCUCGGCUCAACUGAGAGGUGUCGCUCAAAACUAGCAGACUGGAGGAUGGUAGAGGAUGGCGGAAUUCCGGGUGUAGUGGUGAAAUGCGUAGAUAUCCGGAGGAACACCAGUGGCGAAGGCGGCCAUCUGGACCAUUCCUGACACUCAAACGCGAAAGCUAGGGGAGCAAACGGG
Molecule: unclassified non-coding RNA, 253 nt
Filed under: uncultured Anaerolineales bacterium
Lineage: Bacteria; Bacillati; Chloroflexota; Anaerolineae; Anaerolineales
Description: contains 16S-23S intergenic spacer region
Rfam family: Bacterial small subunit ribosomal RNA
Source: RNAcentral